UGAAUCGGCCCAGCGGAUGUUUCUGAUGACUCGCGACUAUGGGCGGGU
This 48-nucleotide transfer RNA is filed under the name Kryptoperidinium foliaceum. RNAcentral describes it as "partial Selenocysteine transfer RNA". The record is from RNAcentral. Lineage: Eukaryota; Dinophyceae; Peridiniales; Kryptoperidiniaceae.